Molecule: unclassified non-coding RNA, 1654 nt
Filed under: uncultured fungus
Lineage: Eukaryota; Fungi
Description: sequence contains 18S rRNA gene, ITS1, 5.8S rRNA gene, ITS2, 28S rRNA gene
Rfam family: Eukaryotic large subunit ribosomal RNA (bases 687-1654)
Source: RNAcentral
GGAAGGAUCAUUAACAAAUUCCAAAACACGUGGUUGUCUAUUGGUUGGUUGAUUGAGAAGAUCAAUUAAUCAUCCAAUAGUACAUAUCAACAAAACAUUUACAUUUAAGAUUGACAAACAAUGGAGAACCAAAAAACGUUUAAUCGUAAACAACUUUUAACAAUGGAUCUCUUGGCUCUUGCAACGAUGAAGAACGCAGCGAACUGCGAAACGUGAUGUGAACUGCACUCUUCGUGAAUCAUCCAAUCUUUGAACGCACUUGCACCUUGUGGCUUUUGUCACAAGGUAUACUUGUUGAGUAUCACAAACAACCUCACCUCCCUUCCGGGGCGAAGUGAACUUGAGAUUUGACAAGCCUGCAGUGCAGUGUAUAUGUAUGUAUUUAUUAUAUGUCAUGUAUAUGUGUGCAUGUAGCAUCGUCAUUUCUUUAAAGACGUGGCCAUUUCUGGUUCGUCUUCAUCUGGCGUCUGACAGACCAUUGGGAUAACAUCCUAACGAUCGUCUGUUGGACGCGCACUCUUUCCUCAGAAAUGAUGGAUUGAUUAUUAGGUGUUGACCAACUUGGCCAAUCUUGGAGCAUUGUUCUGUGUCUCAUCAUCCCAUUUGUUAGUUAUAUGAUGAAUGGGAAAAGACACACGCACUCUUCUCCAUUGAAAGAUGAUUAUUUCGAUCAUCUUUCGUGAAAUGGAUCUCAAAUCAAGUAAGGAUACCCGCUGAACUUAAGCAUAUCAGUAAGCGGAGGAAAAGAAACUAACAAGGAUUCCCCUAGUAAACGGCGAGUGAAGCGGGAAGAGCUCAAAUUUAAAAUCUGACACCCUCUGUGGGUGCCCGAGUUGUCAUUGAGAGGGUCUUCUUUUGAAAAGGGUGAUGGCCAAAGUUCUCUGGAAAGGGACAACAAAGAGGGUGAAAUUCCCGUCUGGGUCAUUGCUUGGAUCAAUCAUAAAGGAGGCUCUAAGAGUCGGAUUGUUUGGGAAUGCAGUCCAAAUGGGUGGUACAUUUCAUCUAAAGCUAAAUAUUGGCAAGAGACCGAUAGCGAACAAGUACCGUGAGGGAAAGAUGAAAAGAACUUUGAAAAGAGAGUUAAAUAGUACGUGAAAUUGUUAAAAGGGAAACGAUUGAGACCAGUGAUGUGUUGUGUCCUUGAGUACACCUUUCGGGGUGUAUGUUUGGGCAUGACACGCGUCGACGCUUCUUUUAUGCCUUGGAAAAGACAAAAGGAAAGAUGGCUCCACCUUUGGGUGGCUGCUUUAUGGUCCUUUUGGGAUACAAGGUAUGUUUGGGAGAAGACAAGUAGCGUUGCAAGACGCACGUCGACGAAAUGGUCUUAAACGACCCGUCUUGAAACACGGACCAAGGAGUCUAACAACUAUGCCGAGUAUUUGAGUGGCAAACUCGAAUGCGUAAAGAAACUGAACGCGUGGGACUUUUCUCUCGUAAGAGAGAGUAAUGGCACCAUGGGCCGGUCCUUGUCUUUGACUUGGAUUGCGCUAGAGCAUAUCUGUUGGGACCCGAAAGAUGGUGAACUAUGCCUGAAUAGGGUGAAGCCAGGGGAAACUCUGGUGGAGGCUCGUAGACAUUCUGACGUGCAAAUCGAUGUUCAAAUUUGGGUAUAGGGGCGAAAGACUAAUCGAACCAUCUAGUAGCUGGUUCCCUC